GAUUGAAGGGGGCUGCUCCUAGUACGAGAGGACCGGAGUGGACGAACCUCUGGUGUUCGGGUUGUGUCGCCAGACGCAUUGCCCGGUAGCUAAGUUCGGGAUCGAUAACCGCUGAAAGCAUCUAAGCGGGAAGCGAGCCUUGAGAUGAGUCUUCCCUGAUACUUUAAGUAUCCUAAAGGGUUGUUCGAGACUAGAACGUUGAUAGGCAGGGUGUGUAAGCGUUGUGAGGCGUUGAGCUAACCUGUACUAAUUGCCCGUGAGGCUUAACCAU
RNAcentral lists this ribosomal RNA (271 nucleotides) under Vibrio alginolyticus. RNAcentral describes it as "partial 23S ribosomal RNA". It matches the Rfam family "Bacterial large subunit ribosomal RNA", at positions 2660 to 2925 of the family's 2925-position model. The record is from RNAcentral. Lineage: Bacteria; Pseudomonadati; Pseudomonadota; Gammaproteobacteria; Vibrionales; Vibrionaceae.